AACAACCCCAUUUCUAAGGUUGACCUCGGAUCAGGUAGGGAUACCC
Molecule: ribosomal RNA, 46 nt
Filed under: Cladosporium sphaerospermum
Lineage: Eukaryota; Fungi; Ascomycota; Dothideomycetes; Cladosporiales; Cladosporiaceae
Description: partial 28S ribosomal RNA
Source: RNAcentral